This is a long non-coding RNA of Drosophila sechellia, 1667 nucleotides long. RefSeq lists it as uncharacterized. NCBI's taxonomy places the organism in Eukaryota, Metazoa, Arthropoda, Insecta, Diptera, Drosophilidae. The transcript is spliced from 2 exons. The record is from RefSeq and is a predicted model, not a curated record.
GAUAAUUUGGCUUAAAUAUUAACAAGUAUGAAAUUAGUCUACUGCACAGUUUUGGCGGCUGCAUGACCCAACAGCGUGUAUUAACGGAAAGCAAUCAAGACUAAAAUUUAAAAAACACAAAAAUAAAGAAAAUAUUGAACCGAUAUCAUUUAACGGUUCCUUAUACCUCACAACUAAAUGGUGUUGCAGAGCGGAUGAUUAGAACAAUCACUGAAAAAGCUUGCUCUGUGAUUAACUGUACUAAACUUAAUAAAAGUUUUUGGGCUGAAGCUGUUUUGACAGCAACAUAAAUAAUUCAUUAACGGGUCCCCAAGUAGAGCUUUAAGAAAAUAAAAGAAAAUCACCAGUUGAGAUGUGGCAUAAAAAGAAGCCAGUAUUGAAAUAGAUAAAGAUAUUUGGCUCGACAGCACUAAAUAAAGUGCGAAAGCGAAAAUUUUACGAGAAAUCGAUCAAAACUAAACUUGUCGGAUAUGAGCCAAUUGGCUGUAAGGUGUGUAAGGUAUAAGGCAUGAGAAAAUGAAUGACAGCUAGAGAUGUAGUGGUGGAUGAAAUAAACAUAAGCAUCUGUAACUUCAAAUAAAAAUGACUCUGUGGAAAAACAUGAUGUUUUUGACCAAUAUAGUGAUUCUCUAAUUGAAGAGAAUGAAGAGUCGAAUUGCCGAAAAAUUGUGAAAAUUCCACUUGUCUCGAGAAUACCAAUCCAGUAGCUGAAACUGGUGAUAAAAUAAAAGAAAAUAAAAAUUAAGAACAAAUCAGACGCAAUUUAUAAUUGACUGAUAUUAUGACAAAGCCACUAUCAACUUCCACAUUCACUGCACUGCGAGACCAACUGGGGCUAACCGAAUUGAAUGAUGAAAAUAAUCUGAAUGAGCAAAAUGAAUUUUUAUAUGAAGUUUGAAUCUUUUAUAUAUAUAUGUACAUAUAUAUAACCAUAAUCAAAUCAAAACAAUUACUAGUCUAACCAUUUGUUUAUCUUUGUUUAUCUAACUGAAACUUGAAUGAUGAUAAUAAUUUUUAAAUGAAGUUUAAAUCUUUUGUAAAUAUAAGUUAACGACCUGCUCUCGUCAAGAGCCAACGACCGCCCUAGCCAAGCCCCGCUGACGCCUACACCCUUGCGUGUGAGAUCGCAACUUCAGCACAAGCACCGGAAGAAGCUACGGCGAUAAUGUGCAGCGUCAGGUUCCUUACGCCGGCGCGUUGACGGCAAGCUGAUGCGACGUAACAUUGUUGAGCUAUCAUGUGCAACGUCAGCACGCAGGCACAUUGUCGACGAGCUUGCGCAACAGAAUUUCUGACUUACGCAGCGUAAGCACCCUUGUGCCAACGAGCAGCUGAAGUGGGACUUCAAGCCGGACGGUUUGGGCAGAGUCGAUUCGCCGAUCAACAGGAACGGAGCGUCUUGAAUAAAGUUGUUAUUAAGAACCAAGCUUUCAAAACUUAUUAUUAACAUCUCAAGGGACAUGGAAGGUUUAAUUAAAAUUAAUAAUAUCGUUCCGAUCUGUCCGAUCUAUGAUCGCCAAGAUCAACACGAUGGUCGCCGAACGGAGUCCGACGUUAACCUAUAUAACCAUAAUCAAACCAAAACAAUUACUAGACUAAUUAUUACUAUGUUUAAUAUAAGUAAAUCUUGUCAAAUUUGUUAUUUGAUUAAACUAUUUGAAAACGCA